This is a non-coding RNA of Potamilus streckersoni, 77 nucleotides long. NCBI's taxonomy places the organism in Eukaryota, Metazoa, Mollusca, Bivalvia, Unionida, Unionidae. The record is from the annotation of a GenBank genome assembly.
GCUAUGGUGGCCAAGUAGUUAGACAGUCCGCCUAGAAAGCGGGAGGUCGUGGGUUCAAUCCCCGGUCAAGUCAUACA